Molecule: long non-coding RNA, 138 nt
Organism: Saccostrea echinata
Lineage: Eukaryota; Metazoa; Mollusca; Bivalvia; Ostreida; Ostreidae
Exons: 3
Source: RefSeq, a predicted model, not a curated record
GGUCCACAGGGUUACCCUGGAUGUAAUGAGACAAAGAGACAAAAGGUAACCCUGGAGUUGAUGGACUGCCAGGAAAUCGGGGGCCUCAGGGUGUAUCAGGUUUACCCGGACCCAAGGGAAAUCCUGGAGAUGGAUUUU